This 653-nucleotide ribosomal RNA is filed under the name uncultured fungus. Its description in RNAcentral is "eukaryotic LSU rRNA". The stretch from base 215 to 369 matches the Rfam family "5.8S ribosomal RNA". The record is from RNAcentral. Lineage: Eukaryota; Fungi.
GGAAGGAUCAUUACCGAAUUGUCAACAAGAGUUGUUGCUGGUCUCCGUAUGGGGGCAUGUGCACGCUCUGUUUACACAUCCACUCACACCUGUGCACGCUCUGUAGUUCUAUGGCCUGGGUGGGCUCUGUCCUCCUGCUGUGGUUCUAUGUCUUUACACACACACUACAACAAAGUCUCAUGGAAUGUAUGUCGCGUUUAACGCAAUGGAAUACAACUUUCAGCAACGGAUCUCUUGGCUCUCGCAUCGAUGAAGAACGCAGCGAAAUGCGAUAAGUAAUGUGAAUUGCAGAAUUCAGUGAAUCAUCGAAUCUUUGAACGCACCUUGCGCCCUUUGGCUAUUCCGAAGGGCAUGCCUGUUUGAGUAUCAUGAACACCUCAACUCUCAUGGCUUGCCAUGAUGUGCUUGGACUUUGGGGGUCUUGUUGGCCUGUGAGCCAGCUCCUCUUAAAUGAAUUAGCUUGCCGGUGUUUGGUGGCGUCACAGGUGUGAUAACUAUCUACGCUUGUGGUUUCCCACCAGGGUAACCUUCAGCAAUGAAGGUUCACCGGAGCUUAUAAAUGUCUCUCCUCAGUGAGGACAGAUUUUGACCAUUUGAUCUCAAAUCAGGUAGGACUACCCGCUGAACUUAAGCAUAUCAAUAAGCGGAGGAAA